GACACCUUGGUGGUGACUGUGACAUGGAAAUACGUAAAGGAGCACUCACACCCUCCAGUGGUAGAGUUGAGGUACCGCAUCCUGGGAGCCACAGACUGGACUCUGGUUGACAGCAGUUACCUGGGAUCCAAUCAUUAUGAAAUGAUGGACCCAGAGCCUUACACGGUCUAUGAAUUCCAGAUCCGAUACAUCCCAGACGAGCAUCAAAAAAGCAGAGGUCUGUGGAGUGAAAGUUUUCUGCUCACCACUCCAGAAAAAGUUCCUGUUGGGACACUGGAUGUAUGGAGGGACAUGGACCGGGAGAACUCUCUGCUUGUGACAUGGAAG
Nanorana parkeri is the source of this 327-nucleotide long non-coding RNA. RefSeq lists it as uncharacterized. The record is from RefSeq and is a predicted model, not a curated record. NCBI's taxonomy places the organism in Eukaryota, Metazoa, Chordata, Amphibia, Anura, Dicroglossidae. The transcript is spliced from 3 exons.